This is a long non-coding RNA of Cyprinodon tularosa, 629 nucleotides long. RefSeq lists it as uncharacterized. NCBI's taxonomy places the organism in Eukaryota, Metazoa, Chordata, Actinopteri, Cyprinodontiformes, Cyprinodontidae. The record is from RefSeq and is a predicted model, not a curated record. The transcript has 3 exons.
UCAUAAUGGUGGAGCUAAAUUUACGACAUUUCUCUUGGCUAAUUCCUACCUGAUUUAGCAAUAUGUAUAUUUAGCUCUUUCUGAUGUUCCCUCUUUGCUGUUGACCAACAGUGAAAAAUAGUUGGUUUUCCACUUGGUGGUGUCAGGACUCAGCCGACAGAGCUGUAAAGUUUUUGCCGGUUCUGCUCCCUUCUGCUUUCUCCGCAGGUGUCCGCAGUUGACAGGUGGGCCACCUAUGGCUGGUUCAGCAGCCUCUGAUCGCGCUAUUAGAGCAGCAUACGACAGCAGGAGGAUGCCGGAGUGUUAACCAUAGCGGUUUCCUCUUGUGCCAAAUCCUAGUUCUGAGUCUCCACUAGACCCUCCCUUUUCACCUGGCUUCAAGCAAGGUGCUUCGAGUCUGGUUUCUCCUGCUACCUUGGAUCACAGGAAAGUAAGAGCUGCUCGGACCACCCUCUAACCCACGCCCAACUGGUCCCUCGGACACCUGCCACCUACUCCAUCGAUCUGCGCUGAGUCCGCUCCGUCCUCCCCACGUCCGGUGAAGUUGAACGGGUCCCGGUGCUGUUGUUCCCUCAUCGUCUCCAUUGCUUCCAUUUUCUCUGGUUCAACUCAAUAAACAGUUAACUGAU